UAGCANNUCAAUAAGNGGNNGANANGNAANUAACAAUGAUUCCCCUAGUAACGGCGAGUGAACAGGGAAAAGCUCAAAGUUGGAACCUCCUGGCCCUAGGCCUGGCGGAUUGUAAACUAAAGCUUUCAGGUAGCUCGGCUAGCCCGGUAAACAAGUUCUCUGGAAAGGGACGACAAAGAGGGUGAAAUCCCCGUUUUUGGCCGGAGCAUCAGUCCAGCGUUUGCUUGGAAGUGAAGAGUCAGGUUGUUUGGUAUUGCAGCCUAAAGCUGGAGGUAAAUCUCUCCUAAAGCUAAAUAUUGACGAAAGACCGAUAGCGAACAAGUACCGUGAGGGAAAGAUGAAAAGCACCUUGAAAAGGGGGUCAAAAAGUACGUGAAAUUGCUGAAAGGGAACCGUAUGAAAUCAGCCUGUCUCUUUGGUAAUCAGCCUGGGCUUUGGCCUGGGUGCACUUGCCAGUGAGUCAGCCUACGACAAUUUGACUUGGGGGAAAAAAUCAGGGGGAAUGUGGCCUAGGCUUCGGUCGAGGUGUUAUAGCCCUUUGAAAAAUACCCUGGGUUGGAUUGAGGAUCGCAGCNGGCCAUUUGGGAUGAACUGUGGGCGCUUGAACUUGACUGNGAAGAAAUCUCUAUCUCUGGUAGUGUCUUUUCAGCCGGGCGCAACUCGCCUACUUUUUCUUUUUCCUGCUUAGGUCGUAGGCAUAAUGAUUUUAUAUGACCCGUCUUGAAACACGGACCAAGGAGUCCACCAUAGUUGCGAGUCUUUGGGUGUAGAAACCCGGGGGCGUAAGGAAACUGACCAAGAUAUGAAGGCCUCACGGCUGGCAAUAUCCUCCAGCGAGGACGUUUUAUACUGAAUUGACUGAGAGAAAGCAAUUAUGAUGGGACCCGAAAGAUGGUGAACUAUACGUGAAUAGGGUGAAGCCAGAGGAAACUCUUNNUGNAAGCUCNUACGCGAUUC
This 957-nucleotide ribosomal RNA is filed under the name Absidia sp. (in: mucoromycotan fungi). Its description in RNAcentral is "Absidia sp. (in: Fungi) partial large subunit ribosomal RNA". It matches the Rfam family "Eukaryotic large subunit ribosomal RNA", at positions 36 to 886 of the family's 3401-position model. The record is from RNAcentral. Lineage: Eukaryota; Fungi; Mucoromycota; Mucoromycetes; Mucorales; Cunninghamellaceae.